This 102-nucleotide Y RNA is filed under the name Prolemur simus (greater bamboo lemur). Its description in RNAcentral is "Y RNA (ENSPSMG00000025059.1)". It matches the Rfam family "Y RNA". From Rfam's summary of the family: Y RNAs are components of the Ro ribonucleoprotein particle (Ro RNP), in association with Ro60 and La proteins. The Y RNAs and Ro60 and La proteins are well conserved, but the function of the Ro RNP is not known. In humans the RNA component can be one of four small RNAs -- hY1, hY3, hY4 and hY5. Lineage: Eukaryota; Metazoa; Chordata; Mammalia; Primates; Lemuridae. The record is from Rfam by way of RNAcentral.
AGUUGGUCUGAGUGCAGUGGUGUUUGCAACUAAUUGAUCACAACCAGUUACAGAUUCCUUUGUUCCUUCUCCACUCCCACUGCUUCACUUGACCAGCCUUAA